AAGCAAGUAAGAAGUAGUAAUUAAUUUUUUUUUCUACAGGUUUUUGUCAUCCUACCAGGAAGUGUCUUAAGCUUGAUCUUGUCCAAGCCCCAUGGAUUUCAUUUUUUUUUCUAUAGUUUAUCUUGGUAGUUAUGAUAUGGAAGACAACUACAAGAGCUUACGACUUAGCUGCUCUUAAGUAUUGGGGACGAGCAACUCACAUCAACUUCCUUUUAUUGGCUGGUAUGCAUUCACUGAACGCCGUGUUUCUUCUUGGAGAUACUACUUUGAAUAGCUUGAGGUUCCCAUGGUUCUGGAUCUCCUAACUUUGUUUUGUGGACAUCUAUAUAUGUCAUUUUCCAAUGGGUCAUCCAUGCUUGUGUCUUACUUUUGUGGCCAUACCCUUUUCUUGACUUGUCAUCCCCUUAUGCUCCACUAUGGUAAGUUAUUGCCUUCUGAAAUGUAUCUCUAAUUUUUAUGGAUUUUUACAGCAUAAUUUCACAGGAAUUUUGAUUUUGCCAAAUAAUGCCUCCAUGAAUUGAAAUACUCGAAAGGUACUUUUCCAUAGGAAGAAAUACAAAAAUGCCUUCAUUUAUUUAUUUAUUUUUCUUUGAAAAAGCAAUGAAUAUGAGAAUUGUGUAGUCCACGUGGUAUAUGUAUGACAUCCAACCCCUCCAAUAUAGGCAUUUGAACAUGAUUAU
Molecule: long non-coding RNA, 680 nt
Organism: Magnolia sinica
Lineage: Eukaryota; Viridiplantae; Streptophyta; Magnoliopsida; Magnoliales; Magnoliaceae
Exons: 5
Source: RefSeq, a predicted model, not a curated record